AGAACGAACGCUGGCGGCAUGCCUAACACAUGCAAGUCGAACGAGACCUUCGGGUCUAGUGGCGCACGGGUGCGUAACGCGUGGGAAUCUGCCCUUGGGUUCGGGAUAACAGUUGGAAACGACUGCUAAUACCGGAUGAUGACUUCGGUCCAAAGAUUUAUCGCCCAGGGAUGAGCCCGCGUAGGAUUAGCUUGUUGGUGAGGUAAGAGCUCACCAAGGCGACGAUCCUUAGCUGGUCUGAGAGGAUGAUCAGCCACACUGGGACUGAGACACGGCCCAGACUCCUACGGGAGGCAGCAGUGGGGAAUAUUGGACAAUGGGCGAAAGCCUGAUCCAGCAAUGCCGCGUGAGUGAUGAAGGCCUUAGGUUGUAAAGCUCUUUUACCCGGGAUGAUAAUGACAGUACCGGAGAAUAAGCCCGGCUAACUCCGUGCCAGCAGCUGC
RNAcentral lists this ribosomal RNA (443 nucleotides) under uncultured soil bacterium. RNAcentral describes it as "bacterial SSU rRNA". It matches the Rfam family "Bacterial small subunit ribosomal RNA", at positions 26 to 518 of the family's 1533-position model. The record is from RNAcentral.